GCCGACUUAAUUAUAUGUACUGCUAAUGGCGUGAUACAAAAAUGGACUUAUAGGUACUUUAGAUCAGUGGUUCACAUUAGAAAUGGAGUGGAUCAAUGGUUAGCUUGGCUGUUUUCUAACGAAUUGUCUCAGGUUCGAAACCCAUGUGAAUGUUUUUUUCCACCAAUUUUCUCUCUCACAAUCUGACAUACGGGCCUACACUUAUACGGUAUUGCAGGGAGUAGCAGGAGACAUAGUCAGGACCGUAUUGGAGCGUAUUCUCAUGCUUGAGGACCGUAGUGGAGCACUCCGCGAGUUCGAGGACCAUGGUGUUACAUGCCGGAGAGUACAGGGACUAUAGGUGUAAUUAUCU
This 352-nucleotide long non-coding RNA is filed under the name Triticum aestivum (bread wheat). Its description in RNAcentral is "long non-coding RNA (TAES_LNC014974)". The record is from RNAcentral. Lineage: Eukaryota; Viridiplantae; Streptophyta; Magnoliopsida; Poales; Poaceae.